AACGAACGUUGGCGGCGUGGAUUAGGCAUGCAAGUCGAGCGAGAACUAACCUUCGGGUUAGGGACAGCGGCAGACGGCGUAGUAAUACUUCGGAACGUACCCCCUAGACCGGGAUAGCCACGGGAAACUGUGAGUAAUACCGGAUAAUCCAGUGAUGGCAAAGGUGUAAGUCCGCUGGGGGAGCGGCCGAAGCGGGACUAGCUUGUUGGUGGGGUAAUGGCCCACCAAGGCUUCGAUCUCUAGGGGGUGUGAGAGCAUGGCCCCCACGACUGGGACUGAGACACUGCCCAGACACCUACGGGUGGCUGCAGUCGAGAAUCUUCCACAAUGGGCGCAAGCCUGAUGGAGCGACGCCGCGUGCGGGAGGAAGGCCUUCGGGUUGUAAACCGCUGUUGGAGGGGAUGAAGAUGCAUGGGGCACACUCCAUGCGUUUGACAGAGCCUCUGAGGAAGCGCGGGCUAAGUACG
Molecule: ribosomal RNA, 467 nt
Filed under: uncultured Planctomycetia bacterium
Lineage: Bacteria; Pseudomonadati; Planctomycetota; Planctomycetia
Description: bacterial SSU rRNA
Rfam family: Bacterial small subunit ribosomal RNA
Source: RNAcentral